RNAcentral lists this ribosomal RNA (542 nucleotides) under uncultured Glomeromycotina. Its description in RNAcentral is "SSU rRNA". It matches the Rfam family "Eukaryotic small subunit ribosomal RNA", at positions 548 to 1098 of the family's 1831-position model. Lineage: Eukaryota; Fungi; Glomeromycota. The record is from RNAcentral.
UUGGAGGGCAGUCUGGUGCGCAGCGCGGUAUUCAGCUCCAUAGCGUAUAUUAAGUUGUUGCAGUUAAAAGCUCGUAGUUGAAUUUCGGGAUUCAUCCGUUGGUCGGGCUUCACGGUCCGUACUGGUGUGAUGGGUUCCUACCUUCUGAAUAACCGGCAUGCCAUUAAUUUGGUGCGCCGGGGAAGCAGAACUAUUACCUUGAAAAAAUUAGAGUGCUUAAAGCAGGCAAGUGCCUGAAUAGGUUAGCAUGGAAUAAUAAAAUAGGACGGCAUGGUUCUAUUUUGUUGGUUUCUAGGAUCACCGUAAUGAUUAAUAGGGAUAGUUGGGGGCAUUAGUAUUCAAUUGUCAGAGGUGAAAUUCUUGGAUUUAUUGAAGACUAACUUCUGCGAAAGCAUUUGCCAAGAAUGUUUUCAUUAAUCAAGAACGAAAGUUAGGGGAUCGAAGACGAUCAGAUACCGUCGUAGUCUUAACCAUAAACUAUGCCGACUAGGGAUCGGACGAUGUUAAUUUUUUAAUGACUCGUUCGGCGCCUUACGGGAAAC